RNAcentral lists this unclassified non-coding RNA (389 nucleotides) under Hevea brasiliensis (rubber tree). The record is from RNAcentral. Lineage: Eukaryota; Viridiplantae; Streptophyta; Magnoliopsida; Malpighiales; Euphorbiaceae.
GACACUUGUUAUUUUGAUCCAUAGAAAUUGAAGAUGAAUCUGAAAUGCCUGAACCUUCUUGAGAACAUGAAACAAUAUUGUGAUUAUUUAUCAAAUUAGAACCCAAUUCAGAUACAUUAUCCAUGACUCCAGCAGUAUAAGAAAAUUGAUCAACUGGGUCUAGACUCAAGCUUUGAGCAGUAUUGAGAAGAUGUUGAUCAUAACCAGCAUCAGAGGAAAUGGGCAAUGUUACUGAACUUUGAGUUAUUGAGUCCCAGAACGUGAGGCUGCCGUUAGUUUCAGUCUUUGGGAGGAUACAAGGCAGUGAAGGUGUGGAACAAGGAGCAGAAUUAGUAGAAUUCUUAGCAGGAGUGAUGAUCUCUGUGUUGUUCUUGAUUGCUAGGCUUGUU